This 253-nucleotide ribosomal RNA is filed under the name uncultured bacterium. RNAcentral's name for it is "partial 16S ribosomal RNA". It matches the Rfam family "Bacterial small subunit ribosomal RNA", at positions 524 to 776 of the family's 1533-position model. The record is from RNAcentral.
UACUUAGGGUGCGAGCGUUAAUCGGAAUUACUGGGCGUAAAGCGUGCGCAGGCGGCUUUGCAAGACAGAUGUGAAAUCCCCGGGCUCAACCUGGGAACUGCAUUUGUGACUGCAAGGCUAGAGUACGGCAGAGGGGGAUGGAAUUCCGCGUGUAGCAGUGAAAUGCGUAGAUAUGCGGAGGAACACCAAUGGCGAAGGCAAUCCCCUGGGCCUGUACUGACGCUCAUGCACGAAAGCGUGGGGAGCAAACAGG